This 267-nucleotide ribosomal RNA is filed under the name uncultured bacterium. RNAcentral describes it as "partial small subunit ribosomal RNA". It matches the Rfam family "Bacterial small subunit ribosomal RNA", at positions 26 to 285 of the family's 1533-position model. The record is from RNAcentral.
AGGACGAACGCUGGCGGCGUGCCUAACACAUGCAAGUCGAACGGAGUCCAAGCGGUGGCAACACUGCUGAAGACUUAGUGGCGAACGGGUGAGUAUCACGUGAGCAACCUGCCCCGAAGACUGGGAUAACACCGGGAAACCGGUGCUAAUACCGGAUAUCCCCACCGGAUCGCAUGGUCUGGUGAGGAAAUGAAUUUCGCUUUGGGAGGGACUCGCGGCCUAUCAGCUAGUUGGUGAGGUAACGGCCCACCAAGGCGACGACGGGUA